UCUCACACUGGCCGUCGUCUUUACAGCCUAACACAUGCAAGUCGAGCGGUAACAGGAAGAAAGCUUGCUUCUUUGCUGACGAGCGGCGGACGGGUGAGUAAUGCCUAGGGAACUGCCCAGUCGAGGGGGAUAACAGUUGGAAACGACUGCUAAUACCGCAUACGCCCUACGGGGGAAAAGAGGGGAUCUUCGGACCUUCUGCAGAUUGGAUGUACCUAGGUGGGAUUAGCUAGUAGGUGAGGUAAUGGCUCACCUAGGCGACGAUCCCUAGCUGUUCUGAGAGGAUGAUCAGACACACUGGGACUGAGACACGGACCAGACUCCUACGGGAGGCAGCAGUGGGGAAUAUUAGCACAAUGGGCGCAAGCCUGAUGCAGCCAUGCCGCGUGUGUGAAGAAGGCCUUCGGGUUGUAAAGCACUUUCAGCGAGGAGGAAAGGUUAACAGGUUAAUACCCGUUAGCUGUGACGUUACUCGCAGAAGAAGCACCUGGCUAACUUCGUGCCAGCAGCCUGCUGGUAAUACGAGGGGUGCAAGCGUUAAUCGGAAUUACUGGGCGUACAAGCGUACGCAGGCGGGNUGAUUAAGCGAGAAUGG
RNAcentral lists this ribosomal RNA (595 nucleotides) under uncultured bacterium. RNAcentral's name for it is "bacterial SSU rRNA". It matches the Rfam family "Bacterial small subunit ribosomal RNA", at positions 22 to 597 of the family's 1533-position model. The record is from RNAcentral.